This 6611-nucleotide long non-coding RNA is filed under the name Sus scrofa (pig). RNAcentral's name for it is "lncRNA (ENSSSCG00015021852.1)". Lineage: Eukaryota; Metazoa; Chordata; Mammalia; Artiodactyla; Suidae. The record is from RNAcentral.
UCCAACGUGAUUAAUUGUAUUCUGGUGAUUUGAGAAGGCAAAUUAUUUGCUGUUACGGUGAACGACAUUAGUGGAGUCUGAAGGCUGUGCUCUUUCCCUUCAUCUGGGAAUUCUUUAACUCGAUCAGGCCAGUGGAGAGGAGCUUUCACAGAGGCCUGUUCGACUUUGUUUUACAUCCCGCAGCAGAGUGCUGGUUUCUGGAAGCAGUAUUUUCCCUAUGUGAGAUUGUAAGUCAUGCCUACGUCAUCAUGUACUUGGAUGGAGUUCAAAUGGAGUUGACGUCGUUUGAAGAGAAUAUCCCCAUUCAUAAAAGACGGAACUACUUCCUCAAUGUAACAUCUUGAUAAUGUCAAAUAGAUUUAGAAUUCUUUGAAGAGUACGAUUUUUGUUCUUAGCCUAUGAAAUAAUUUUGGGGGGAAAUAGAAAUAAAACACAUUUUCUCAAUUUUAUAUGUCUGCUCCUCAGUUUAAACUGGUCAAAUACUCAAGCUUGUAACCUAAAGAUGAGUUCUUUGAUGACUUUUCCUCUACCCUUCAAAUUUGAAAGCUGCCACUAUUUUACAAUUUAAAAGAAGGGCUCUAUAAUGUCCUGUUGCUAUUUAUAAAUAAUUUGUCUUUAUUACUCAGUGUUAAAUAAUUUAUGACGUAAAAAUCAGUGCCAACAGUAAGUUUUGUUUGAAUUAGCCACAAACCAUGAGUAAAUACAUGGAAACAUUCUUCAGGAAAAUUGAUCCGAAUAAACCUAUCUUUCUACCUACCAUACCUGGGCUUCCACAGCCAACACAUAAACAGAGAAAGCAGCUGCAGGAAGUCACGAGCAGCCAAUUCUGAUUUCAGCAGCCAAGGAACAUCUUGAAAGGGUUAUGCUGAAGGACCUCGCUGAGACAGGAAUCCUGGGAGGUGAACAAUAAUUUUCUCAUAGAAAGUGAACAAAGAUGUUUAAUAUUCAGUUCACAUUAAAAUGAAUCGUGCAAAGCGUUGAACAUAUUAAAUAAUUCCAACAGGGAAGCGUCAGGAAAGCAGACCUCUUUGUAUUGAAGUAGAAUUAAUAUGUCUUUUUUAUUACAAUAAAUAAACACUGAGUAAGACACAGAAAAAAAUCCCAUGCCCUACUGCAGCUGGUAAAAUGCUUCUGCAGCCAGAACAAAAGGCAGAGGAUGCUCAAGGCAGAGGGGCCUGAGAAGUGAUAGACUAGAUCUCAGGGGAGAAAGCUCAUUUAAAUUAAGAGGAAGAAGUACUCCUUUCGAUCUGAAUAUGCAGGAGGUUAUCAGUUUUGGUAAGGGGUAUGUAUAACUCACACUUGGGAAUCAUAUACAGGAUGUUGACAGACAAGGGCUCUGGCACCCACCGACGGUUUUGUCAUAAGUCCACUGUCUGUAUCAUCCAUCUUCUUCUUUUAAAAAUUAGCAUCACAGGGAGUUCUCUUGUGAUGCAGCAAGUUCGGGAUCCAGUGUCACUCUAGUGGCUCGGUUUGCUGCUGUGGUGUGGUCUGAUCCCUGAGCUAGGAACUUCUGCAUGACACAGUGUGGCCAAAGCAGAAAAUCAGAAUGACAAUGUCUGUUGUAUCAUAAAUCUGAAAGGGUGUCCAUGUCACUGGUACCGUACACCCAUCCAUGUGUCAGAGCUGGGAUGGGCGUACAGUGCCAGGAAUGCGGACAUCCUAUCAGAUUUACGAUAUAAUGUAACUUUGAAUAAGGUAGAUGAUGUAGACAGUGGACUUACUACAAAACAGCUCAGGACUGUAUAUGGAUAAGCAUGGAUUUGGGUACCCGUCGGUGGAUAUCACAGUCCUUGCCUGCGAACACUUGUGAAUUCUUAUUUAAUGGAUAAAGACAUGGGUUAUAAAAGUUUUCAGUAAAUGAGAUUUUCUGUUUACACCUAUUGCAUUUUCUGCAUUCUUUUGUUUCCCAGUUCAAUUAAAUAAUCCGUUAAUCUAGCCGCCUUCCAGUCUGCGCUCCCGCUGCAAUGUGUAGACUGCAUUCCAUCCAUAGUCUGCCACGCGCUGACCUGUCGCUUUUUGCUUUCAUUCAGCAGAAAAACCCCCUUGUUUAUUCACCCCCUGAAAACUCUGUUUCUAAAAAUUGAAGGUCGUGUGUGCUCUUCCAUCCCUCAGCACGCAUUUCCAAAUAGUGAUUUAAUCACAUCACUAAGAUUGGGAUACGAAAGCAUGUUUCUCACGGUGCUUUCUUCUCAUUUUAUGUUUACUCUCUUCAUUAAACAAAAUAGCGAUGCCUCAAGCGAUGUGUACACCGUCUUUCUGGUUUGGAAGUGUGUGUUCUGAGCAUUUGCCUUCCAUAGAACAUACUGCUAAAUGAAAAUAUAGGUUUGUGUUUGUAUAUACAUACAUACAUACAUAUACACACACACACACAUAUAUGUGUGUAUAUGUUCUAAGUUUAUUUUUUUGUCUUCUGCUUUGUCCUCUACGUAACACCAAGGUAGGAAUCUUUGUGUUGUUCACUGAUAGGAGCUAAUGAAUCCAGUGCUUAGAAAAGAGCCUGACAUGGAGGCAGAAGGUACCAAGUGUUGGGGGAGAAGACGACCCGAGCUCUCCUGCUUGAACAGCUCUUCACUAACGGUCUGAAGGCGACCCUCAAAUGCAAUGAGGUGAUGAGGUACUGACGCACGGGGUUUGCAGCAGGCAUCUGAUUGUUCUGCCCAGUGUCGCUGCCGACACAAGAUGGGAUUCUUUCCUGUGAUAAUGUUCUUUUUUAAAAGCGAGUCCAGAGAUGAACAUUAUUGCGUUCCAAGANCAAUGAGUUCUAGGGUGAAGAGGGGUCUGGUUUUAUGCCACCAUGUUUUCCUCUUCAAAUCUGUAGUGAGAGUCAUUCACGUUAUUAUGUUGUAAAGUGGCCUUUUCAUGAGUUGUAAUCAGUAUUCGAAUUCAUCAGAAUUUUACAUGUCAUGUAAAGCAGGAAUGUAUAUGUAUGUUUAUUCCAAUAUUUAAAUGAUUCAAGAAAAUAUUGACAAAUAUUUUUGGCUUCUCCAUUUAAAUAGGGAAUCAGAGGUGUCAGAAUUGUGGUGUCAUAUUUGCUAGACUCUUGGGACCUCAUUAAAUGUGUAAUUAUAAGGUGAUAAUUGUAGUCUUCAGUCUGACUGAACUGGGAAUAUAUUGUGAGUAAAGUUUCCAUUUUAUGAAGAGAGAUGAACAAGAAAGUCAGGAAGUGUAUAAUCAAGGGUGCAAUGUAGGUUAUGGAUUUGAUAUUAAAUUCUUACUAUUUUAUGAACAACUUUCAAUUUGCGUACACUCUCAAUUAACCAUGAGUCAUCAGUAUUGACGGACAGAAAAUUUAGAGUCAUUUAAAAAUCUGUAAGUGUUUACUGAAGUGAGUCUCUAGGCUGUGGCCAUUUCAAAUACCCACUCAAAAAUCCAGAUGCUGUGCAGUUGCUAAAGUACAGUUAUGUUAGACUCCACACUUCCCUCUUCCAGCUGGGACCAUUCUACAGGUCCGAAUGCUUUUGAAGCUAUAAAUGCAUGAGGAUGAAAUUCUUAAAAACAAACUUUUGUUCUAGAACAUAACAGUUCUGACGUGGACUGGCCUUCCUUGGAGAAUUGGGGUGGCUAGUAAUUCAAUGUUAUCUCUAUGUGACCCAAUUUGGAAUAGAACAGAUCAUUUUGUAAGGCAGUUGAAAAACAAUAGUAUUUAUUGAGCAUUACCUUGAUUAGGUCAAGGGGCCAUGCUGAAUGCUAUUUCGAAAGCUCUGGUCAAUUUAAAAUACUUUGAUGAAAAUUUAGAACUAAGAGGAUAGCAAUGUCCUUUUUACUUCAGCGAUUUAACGCAGUAAGAUUCCUAGGUAUAAUUAGCUAAUGUAAAUGUAAUUCCUAGUUAAGAUUUAAGAAUGCCUGCCUAACACCUUAAGUCGAUUAACUUUGAAAAUGUAAAACUGUUUCUCCACUAUUUAUUAAAUUAUUUGAUAUUAAGUGUUGGAUUCUAUCUAAUUCUGUUGAUAAAACUUUAAGGUAGCUAGAGGUUGAGAAAUAAUUAUUUUAUGGAUAUUUCACAUUUAUCUUUUGGAUUUUCCUGACAUAAGUACAUCAUUUUUGUGUUACCAUGUCUCAACUUUUCUAAAAAAAGUUUUAGCCUUGACCCGGGGUUCAUUUUCUUUUACAUUAUUUUCUUUCUUUUUAACUUUUUGAGGCAAUUCUUGGCUUUGUGGAGGAAUACCAGAGAUAAAUUCAUCAAUAAGCAAAUGUUUCCCUUUUUAACUUUUUAAGUUAUUUUACACAUUAUUUUACUUUUAAUCUUUUCUGAUCUGUUUGACAAAAUUUAGCUGUUGCUUACAUGUCAGCAGUAGACACUGUUUAUACGUCUUUUGGUUUCUCAUAAAUAAUUGUGAUAAUUUAUUGAGGUGCUUGCACAUCACAUAUAUAAAAUAUUUUGUGAUUUUAUGUGUCUUAAUGUGUUCUGACUUUGCUAUAAAAUAUCUUUAACUUUUAUGAUCAGCUAUUCCAGUGUGUCUUGUAACACUCAAUAGCCAUACAUAAAACAUCUGAUGAUUAUGCUGUUUGAAAUCUAGCUUCAAAGAUGGCAAUUUAAAUAAUUAGGAAAUUGGCAAAAUAUUUUUCUUGCAAGUCACUUAAUUUUUUUUGCCAAACCACUAAAACACAUUUCUGCAAAGUACUAUAAUUGAUGCCACCAACACACACCAGGUGUCACUUCUGAUUCUAUUAGAACCAAGAUUCCAGUUAAGUCACUGUGAUAAAAUAUCCUUAUGUGCAGAUUCUGUGCAGUGCAAUGUUUAGUUUGAUAGAAUGAGACAAAUGAUAUCAGUGUAUUGUCUAUUAGACCUGAUGUACAAUAAAUCAGAUGAAAGCUUAGCCAACAUGCUACAUGCUGCAGAAAAAUGACAACCAGAUUGGGAGAAUCUUAGAUGUUAAAAAACAAACAAACAAAAAGUCGAUUUUGUUUCUCAGUUCCAAUGUCUGCAAAUAAUUGUUUUAAUCAGUGUUAACCAUGAAUUUGCAGUUCUUAUUCUCAUGACACUAAAUAUCUUUGUGGAUGAAAAUGGAGUAGCAUGCAUUUGUUUUCCAAAAGAAGCGUGGGUAUUUAUACUCUAAAUUACCAAAGGCUCUGCUUUUAGCAACACAGGAACUCCUGCAAUAAGGAUUAAGUGUGAAAAUGAUCACCACUUAUGUAAGGUGUAAUAGAAAGUUUAGAAAGAAGACGGCGAUAAUUUGUCUACAGAGAGAAAUUUUAAUAUUACUAGAUUUAAGCAGCAUGAGUCUGCAGGGUAUAUACCAUACCUCCACUGCAGAAAGGUGCCUAGCAAUGUACAAUUGCGUUAAAGUCAGGAAGAAAAGUACAGAUCUCAAAUGUAAUUUUAUGGGAAUUACAGCUGGAAGCCGAUCAUGUAAUGUUUUCUGAAGAAAAGGUAUUUUUUCAUCUGAGACUCUUCUUUUCUGUUGUGCCCGUUCACUCAGCGUGUAUUUGGAAAGGAUGGGAGCUCCCUCGUGCUGGCCUCUCUGUCCCAGGUGGCACGGGCUUCCCUGUGGAAACCCUGGUUGGACGUGUUCUGCGGAGGUUUUAUGCCCCCCCCCCGCCGCUGUGCAUAUAAAUCAGUGUCGCUUUAUUUUUCUCUGUAGGUCAUUAGCACAUGAGCACCCAUCCUUCUCUCAGGUGUCUUUUAUCCCCAAACUUUCAGGGAACCUGGGGCUAUUUGCGUAUGUUCACAAAACCAUUGCUGCUCUUAGCUUUGCCGUUUGUCAUCUCUUAUCUACAAAAAGAGAAAUUGGCCUAGUACAUAGAAGCUAGAAUUCCUAUAGGGUAAUUUCAGAUAGUCUUGCCUUUAGGCCUCUGCUGCUUUCUGGGCUGAGUGGUGAGUGUUGGGGACCCAGUGGGAUGCCAAGGUAGAGGCAGAGUAGGUCCCUGUUUUAGGUGCUUGCCCGUUGCCAUUAAGAACGGACAGUCCUCUCCCUUGGCUUGGAAUUAUAUGAAGUGUAAGGAUGCUGCUAGAAGAAUCGUUUCUGCACUGUGAUAGGCAGAAUUCUAGGUCGUCCCCUGAGGUCCCACACACCCUUCUUAACCCCUCGGAGGGCGAGCGGGUAUGGUGGCCUAUUACCCCCUGUAAGUAGGGGGUAUUUUAUGCCACCGUUGACUUUGAACGAUAAUCUGGGUGAGAUGAACCUGAAUCAGAGGAGCUGCUUUAAAGCUGAAAGUUGUCUCCUGCGGUUACAAGAGGGAAGGCAGAGAUUUUAAGCGUAAGAGGGUGUUUCCCAUUGCUGAGAUGGAGGGGCCAUGUGGCAAGGACUGGAGAAUUGUACCACGUCCAGAGUCAUCUCUCAUCCACACCUAGCAAGCCAAGAGCACCUCAGUCCUACAACCACAGAAAUGAGCGCCGCCCGAAGCAGCUUGGAAACACACCUUUCUCCAGUCCCAGGUGAGAAUGCCGCAGGCUAACGCCUCGAUUUCAGCCUGCGAGACCCUCAGUAAACCAGGCACUUUGCUGACCCGGAAGCUCAGAUGAUAAAUGUCUGUUGUUUGAAACUGCCUAGGAGUUCCUGUUGUAGCUCAGUGGGUUAAAAACAGGACACUGUAUCUUUGCAGGUUCGAUCCCUGGUCUUGCUCCGUGGAUUAAGGAUCUGGCAUUGCCACAAGCUGCAUAGUAGGCCAU